UCAAAACAUCUUAUUUCCCACUAUCCUCAUUUAUCAAAACUCGAUGGGGAAUAUCGUCAUUUGAUCUUCAUAUGCUGGAGAACGGAUUCUUUGUUUGCAAGCUAUACUCUGAAGAAGAUUUGCAACGAAUCCUCGAAGGAUUCUGGACUAUCCGCGGUCAUCCAAUGAUAUUACGACGUUGGUCUCCUGAUGUCCGUUUGGAGUUAGAUAGCCUACAGUCUAUUCCAUUAUGGGUAUCCUUUCAAGGACUGCCUCUACAUCUUUGGAGUCGACGUUUUAUUGCAAAGUUAUGCAGCACUCUGGGACAGCCACUCUACAUCGACAAAGCAA
RNAcentral lists this long non-coding RNA (330 nucleotides) under Musa acuminata (dwarf banana). Its description in RNAcentral is "long non-coding RNA (MACU_LNC010138)". Lineage: Eukaryota; Viridiplantae; Streptophyta; Magnoliopsida; Zingiberales; Musaceae. The record is from RNAcentral.